GACGAACCGUGCGAACGUUAUUCGGAAUCACUGGGCUUAAAGCGCGUGUAGGCGGGCCGGCACGUCGAGAGCUGAAAUGCCCCGGCUUAACCGGAGCACUGGCAUCGAUACGACCGGCCUUGAGGGGAGUAGGGGGGUCGGGAACUUCCGGUGGAGCGGUGAAAUGCGUUGAGAUCGGAAGGAACGCCCGUGGCGAAAGCGCGGCCCUGGACUCUUACUGACGCUGAGACGCGAAAAGCU
This 240-nucleotide ribosomal RNA is filed under the name uncultured bacterium. RNAcentral's name for it is "partial 16S ribosomal RNA". It matches the Rfam family "Bacterial small subunit ribosomal RNA", at positions 524 to 762 of the family's 1533-position model. The record is from RNAcentral.